Molecule: ribosomal RNA, 468 nt
Filed under: uncultured Paracoccaceae bacterium
Lineage: Bacteria; Pseudomonadati; Pseudomonadota; Alphaproteobacteria; Rhodobacterales; Paracoccaceae
Description: bacterial SSU rRNA
Rfam family: Bacterial small subunit ribosomal RNA
Source: RNAcentral
AGGCUUUGAUCCUGGCUCAGAACGAACGCUGGCGGCAGGCUUAACACAUGCAAGUCGGGCGAGGACUUCGGUCCUAGCGGCGGACGGGUGAGUAACGCGUGGGAACGUGCCCUUUGGUUCGGAAUAGCCCCGGGAAACUGGGAUUAACGCCGGAUGUGCCCUUCGGGGGAAAGAUUUAUCGCCAAAGGAUCGGCCCGCGUUGGAUUAGGUAGUUGGUGGGGUAAUGGCCUACCAAGCCGACGAUCCAUAGCUGGUUUGAGAGGAUGAUCAGCCACACUGGGACUGAGACACGGCCCAGACUCUACGGGAGGCAGCAGUGGGGAAUCUUGGACAAUGGGGGCAACCCUGAUCCAGCCAUGCCGCGUGAGUGAAGAAGGCCUAAGGGUUGUAAAGCUCUUUCAGCGGGGAAGAAUAGUACGGCACUCCGCAUGAAGAAGCCCCGGCGAAACUGAGCUGUCUUUUGGGGGU